GUCAAUAUUUUAUUGGAAAUGUUCAGAUUUAUUAUCAUCAGUUGUUCAUAAUGGUCUCUUACAAUCUUUUAAACAGUUUUAUGAUCUGGAGUAACAUUGAAUAUGGAUGCUGUGGAGGAAGAAUGUAGAGGGAAACCACCUUUUUCACCAUGUGACAUCAAGGGUGCUUGUUGUUAGCAUGACAUCAGUAACUGUAAACAAGUGUUGUUCUCCAGGCUGAUGUAGUCUUGGUAAGACUUCUUCAUCCGAGCUACAUAUAAUGGAUGGAAAUUAUGCUCCUCUCUGAGCUGAAUCAGAAAGACCUCACCCUCCACAGGAGUGUUUGACUAAGAGUUAACCAAUGCUAAAUUUUGCUAAGAACAACAAUGGAAGGGUAAUUCUUUGUGUCUUUGUAAUUCACUCUGAGCAAAAUAUACUGAAAAUGCAUGAGCUCCUUCAGAAUGUAAAAGCAAACGUUUUGGCCACCAGAUGGAGACCCAGUACCGAGUUUUGGAGAUGUGGCUGACUACCC
This is a long non-coding RNA of Peromyscus eremicus (cactus mouse), 511 nucleotides long. RefSeq lists it as uncharacterized. Lineage: Eukaryota; Metazoa; Chordata; Mammalia; Rodentia; Cricetidae. The transcript has 3 exons. The record is from RefSeq and is a predicted model, not a curated record.